This is a long non-coding RNA of Amphibalanus amphitrite, 804 nucleotides long. RefSeq lists it as uncharacterized. NCBI's taxonomy places the organism in Eukaryota, Metazoa, Arthropoda, Thecostraca, Balanomorpha, Balanidae. The record is from RefSeq and is a predicted model, not a curated record. The transcript is spliced from 3 exons.
CGGUGCUUCUGACGGGCAGCAUCGCGCUCAAUGACGGCCGAUUCUCCACGUCGACGGGAAUCGUUCGCUCGUCGGGCGACACGGCCAAGGGCACCAAGACGGACGCCCUGGCUCUGACCAACUCGGUCGGCCCGGACGGCGCCGCACACGGCGUCCAGCACACGGCCGCCAGUACCGGCUCCUCUCAACAGUCGUCCUCUGCCGCUGACGUCACCGUCGGCUCCAGGGUCGGAGACGUGGGCAGCUCUGUCAACGUCGGUGGCGGUACGCAGACUACCAAAUCGUGAUCCCAACCCAUGGAGGGUCGCCGCGGACCGUCCGGUGACCCCUGGAGGACCGCCACGGACCGUCCGGGCGGAUCGGUGACCCCUGCACUCUUGAAGGCCGAGUUUUUCGGAAGUCUUUGUCAAAUUAUGGUCACAGCGCACUCCACACGGACACCCGAUUUGGACGAGAAAUACACCACAAUAACAACAGCCACUUACUUUGUUCAACUCAUAACUUCAGUGACACCCUCUGUGAAAAAUAGAUUUUUGUUUGCUAGAAAUAAACGAAAUUCAGGAUCCCGGGAUGACCUUCGCCGUCGGUGAUUCGUGAAAGAAUAUCAGCUUUGUAGGAAUAAAUCUGGUUAGGAAGUUUUCUGGGAGUUAACCUGAAAAUGGCUGUCAAAUAACAUUGAAGCCGAGCCUUAGAAGCAUGCUACAUAUAUUUGUUAACGGAUGUGAAUCACUACAGAGCUACUGCUGUCAAUGUCAAUGUUAUCCCGGUUAGAGUAAUGUUUGCAAUACAAGAGUUACCCGGUGA